UACGUAGGGACCAAGCGUUGUUCGGAUUUACUGGGCGUAAAGGGCGCGUAGGCGGCGUGGUAAGUCAGCUGUGAAAUCUCCGAGCUUAACUCGGAACGGUCAGCUGAUACUGCUGUGCUAGAGUACAGAAGGGGCAAUCGGAAUUCUUGGUGUAGCGGUGAAAUGCGUAGAUAUCUGGAGGAAUACCGGUGGCGAAGGCGGCAUCCUGGACCGGCAUUGACGCUGAUGAGCGAAAGCUAGGGGAGCAAACGGG
RNAcentral lists this ribosomal RNA (253 nucleotides) under uncultured bacterium. RNAcentral's name for it is "partial 16S ribosomal RNA". It matches the Rfam family "Bacterial small subunit ribosomal RNA", at positions 524 to 776 of the family's 1533-position model. The record is from RNAcentral.